CCUACGGGAGACAGCAGUGGGGAAUAUUGCACAAUGGGGGUAAGCCUGAUGCAGCAACGCCGCGUGAGUGAUGACGGCCUUCUGGUUGUAAAGCUCUUUCUUCAGGGACGAUAAUGACGGUACCUGAGGUGGAAGCUACGGCUAACUACGUGCCAGCAGCCGUGGUAAUACGGAGGUGGCGAGCGUUGUCCGGAUUUACUGGGCGUAAAGGGAGCGUAGGCGGACUUUUAAGUGAGAUGUGAAAUACUCGGGCUCAACUUGAGUGCUGCAUUUCAAACUGGAAGGCUUGAGUGUAGGAGAGGAGAAUGGAAUUCCUGGUGUAGCGGUGAAAUGCGUAGAGAUUAGGAAGAACACCAGUGGCGAAGGCGAUUCUCUGGACUGUGACUGACGCUGAGGCUCGAAAGCGUGGGGAGCAAACAGGAUUAGAUACCCCUGUAGUC
Molecule: ribosomal RNA, 440 nt
Filed under: uncultured bacterium
Lineage: Bacteria
Description: partial 16S ribosomal RNA
Rfam family: Bacterial small subunit ribosomal RNA
Source: RNAcentral